GUGGGGAAUAUUGGACAAUGGGCGCAAGCCUGAUCCAGCCAUGCCGCGUGUGUGAAGAAGGCCUUUUGGUUGUAAAGCACUUUAAGCGAGGAGGAGGCUCCUUUAGUUAAUACCUAAAGAGAGUGGACGUUACUCGCAGAAUAAGCACCGGCUAACUCUGUGCCAGCAGCCGCGGUAAUACAGAGGGUGCGAGCGUUAAUCGGAUUUACUGGGCGUAAAGCGUGCGUAGGCGGCUUUUUAAGUCGGAUGUGAAAUCCCUGAGCUUAACUUAGGAAUUGCAUUCGAUACUGGAAAGCUAGAGUAUGGGAGAGGAUGGUAGAAUUCCAGGUGUAGCGGUGAAAUGCGUAGAGAUCUGGAGGAAUACCGAUGGCGAAGGCAGCCAUCUGGCCUAAUACUGACGCUGAGGUACGAAAGCAUGGGGAGCAAACAGGAUUAGAAACCCUGGUAGUCC
This 451-nucleotide ribosomal RNA is filed under the name uncultured bacterium. RNAcentral's name for it is "bacterial SSU rRNA". It matches the Rfam family "Bacterial small subunit ribosomal RNA", at positions 354 to 796 of the family's 1533-position model. The record is from RNAcentral.